UACGGAGGGUGCGAGCGUUGUCCGGAAUCACUGGGCGUAAAGGGCGCGUAGGCGGCCUGAUAAGUAGGGGGUGAAAUCCUGCGGCUUAACCGCAGGGCUGCCUUCUAAACUGUCAGGCUAGAGCACAGUAGAGGCAGGUGGAAUACCCGGUGUAGCGGUGGAAUGCGUAGAGAUCGGGAAGAACAUCAGUGGCGAAGGCGGCCUGCUGGGCUGUUGCUGACGCUGAGGCGCGACAGCGUGGGGAGCAAACAGG
RNAcentral lists this ribosomal RNA (253 nucleotides) under uncultured bacterium. RNAcentral describes it as "partial 16S ribosomal RNA". It matches the Rfam family "Bacterial small subunit ribosomal RNA", at positions 524 to 776 of the family's 1533-position model. The record is from RNAcentral.